RNAcentral lists this long non-coding RNA (249 nucleotides) under Elaeis guineensis (African oil palm). Its description in RNAcentral is "long non-coding RNA (EGUI_LNC064287)". Lineage: Eukaryota; Viridiplantae; Streptophyta; Magnoliopsida; Arecales; Arecaceae. The record is from RNAcentral.
GUUGCUUUUCUUAAACACCAACUAAGUUGGCCAAGUCAAUGAACGAAAUCAAUUAAUGAAUCACCUUCCUUCGAGAUGUAAUCCCUGAAUCACUUUUCUAGACACCAAUUAAACUGACCAAUCUUAAUCCGAUCCAACACAUAGGGUUUCCUGUCUUAUUGAGCUCGAGAGUCCUUAAGGGUCAAUAUCUAAUUAAUUUUAAGUUAAAGGCUUGGUCAAUGCAAAUACAGAAUUGUGACUUGUGGGCCA